UUGCUCUGGAGUUUGUUUGACAGAGACAUUGAAUCACAGGGGACGCACCAAGGACAACUGGGCUCAGCAGCCUCCCAGCAAACACAGCUGGAAACCAGACUGGGACUAAUCACAUCCUCCCAGACCGACAUAGGCACUUUACAGGUGAACGAAGCCAGAUAUCAGUCAUUGAUCUCAUAACUUCAUUAGUGGUUCAUCAAACGUGUUGCAACAGCAGCUGUUUGACCAGCGCCAGCUACUACCACUGAGGGAAGUUUGUUUAUUAAGUCCUCUGACCUUGCUGCCCUGUUUACGCCUCCGAGCUUCCCGGACCUCUUCACAACACAGCAAGGAGCGUGCCAAGUGGCCCUGUGGCUGGAGCCAGCACAAACACGCUAUCUGAAGGGAACGUGGGACCAUCGUCAUUCAGCGCCUGCACUUCAGAUUUCCUCAUGCUAUUUCAAAAUUUGUGCGUGGGGCGAUCCGUCAGCUUUCUCUGAAUAACAAACAGGAUCUGAUCUUGAUAUGGGCUGUUGAAUGUUAGGAGCAGAAAAUGAUUUUGGUGGGGAAAAGCAUGACUAUCCGAAAGUUAAACAGGAAGUAAACUCCAAACUCAUCUCUCUAACUCUGACUCGCGGAUGUCGUCCUGCAACAGCUCACAUCUUGAGCGAUUUCAGAGCAUGAGCGAGACUUGUGUUUGCUGGUUGAAACAGAUGGAAUUAUUUACCAAACGGGUCUAUCUCCAUAACGUUUCUGUAAUAUAGUCCAACACCUACAAUCACAACCUCAGCCUGUAAGUGACAGCAGCAAGUGCUUAAUGAGCGGGAAGAUGCUAAAAUGUUCAGUAGAUCGGCGGGAAAGUGACACGUUGUUAUAAUAAGAUAUCGAGCAAACCUCUAAAAAGUUAAGCAUUGCCUCCUAGAUAAUACAUCUCAUGUGAAAAAGCUGAAAUAAAAUAUGAAUCCGGGA
This is a long non-coding RNA of Acanthopagrus latus (yellowfin seabream), 948 nucleotides long. RefSeq lists it as uncharacterized. Lineage: Eukaryota; Metazoa; Chordata; Actinopteri; Spariformes; Sparidae. The record is from RefSeq and is a predicted model, not a curated record. The transcript has 3 exons.